This 425-nucleotide ribosomal RNA is filed under the name uncultured bacterium. RNAcentral describes it as "partial 16S ribosomal RNA". It matches the Rfam family "Bacterial small subunit ribosomal RNA", at positions 354 to 796 of the family's 1533-position model. The record is from RNAcentral.
GUGGGGAAUCUUGCGCAAUGGGCGAAAGCCUGACGCAGCCAUGCCGCGUGAAUGAUGAAGGUCUUAGGAUUGUAAAAUUCUUUCACCGGGGACGAUAAUGACGGUACCCGGAGAAGAAGCCCCGGCUAACUUCGUGCCAGCAGCCGCGGUAAUACGAAGGGGGCUAGCGUUGCUCGGAAUUACUGGGCGUAAAGGGAGCGUAGGCGGACAUUUAAGUCAGGGGUGAAAUCCCGGGGCUCAACCUCGUAAUUGCCUUUGAUACUGGGUGUCUUGAGUGUGAGAGAGGUAUGUGGAACUCCGAGUGUAGAGGUGAAAUUCGUAGAUAUUCGGAAGAACACCAGUGGCGAAGGCGACAUACUGGCUCAUUACUGACGCUGAGGCUCGAAAGCGUGGGGAGCAAACAGGAUUAGAUACCCGAGUAGUCC